Long non-coding RNA from Symsagittifera roscoffensis, 712 nucleotides. RefSeq lists it as uncharacterized. The transcript has 3 exons. NCBI's taxonomy places the organism in Eukaryota, Metazoa, Xenacoelomorpha, Acoela, Convolutidae. The record is from RefSeq and is a predicted model, not a curated record.
UUCAUUUUGCUCAUCUCUAUAUUUUAGGUGUUUAUCCGCAGUGGUUGCUUUUGAUGAUUACUUGAAAAUUUGUUUCAACGGAAAGUGAUAAUGAUAACCUGCGUUGUUGUUCUUCUUUUCCUUAACUUAUUCCAAGCCGAAUUGUUGUCCGCGCCUUCUGAAAGCUUACAGUCACUCAAGAACAUUUCAUUAGAACUAUUGGAACCCAAUGAAGACGCUUUUGAAGUAGUUGAUGAACGGAUCAAAGAUGAGCAAAACAUUAUUAGGAGUAUCAAAAACAAGAUUCCGCAGUAUAUACCGCCUCAGCGCUGCAGCAAUAUUCAAGUCAUAUUCAAGAUCUGCCAAAUUUUAGAAGUGGAUGAAAAAGCUGGCCUUUGGGUUGCAAGGAUUAACACUAGCGCCAGCUACUUCCGCGAUGGAGGUGUUCUAUGGGACAUCAGAGCGACGUCUGGUUAUAUUGCAUCUAUCACUCUUCCGGUUGGAAUUACAUGGUUUCCUUCUCUCGCUAUCGAGAAUGUUGUUGACUCUAGAUUCCAACUCACAGGGUCACACCAGCUGGUAUUAGCCAGCGGCUGGGUCGCGUUAGCCUAUGACUCAUUCACUCCACGGAUGUCUUGUUCGUUUGACGUGUCAAAGUUUCCAUUUGAUGAGCAAUGGUGCAAUAUAACUAUUGUAUCGGAACCAUUGGGCGUUUAUGUCAGCUUAUACAACA